UUUUAAGAUGGCAGACGAAGAGUCAAGCCUUCGAAUAUGCAAGAAACGUAAUCUUAACCGGAUCCAGAGGUUCUUUCAGGGGCUGGCUUGUUGAAUAACUUGAAGACGUUUAGGUCGCCGCUGACGCCUUAAAACAUCCGAACCGGCCGGAUAGAAUACCAUGCUCUAAGAUCACAUGGCCUCCUAUUGAUUUUGGCAAGUAUGUAAC
RNAcentral lists this long non-coding RNA (208 nucleotides) under Helianthus annuus (common sunflower). RNAcentral's name for it is "sRNA HanXRQr2_Chr17g0831091". The record is from RNAcentral. Lineage: Eukaryota; Viridiplantae; Streptophyta; Magnoliopsida; Asterales; Asteraceae.